RNAcentral lists this transfer RNA (86 nucleotides) under Candidatus Saccharimonadota bacterium. RNAcentral's name for it is "tRNA-Leu". It matches the Rfam family "tRNA". From Rfam's summary of the family: Transfer RNA (tRNA) molecules are approximately 80 nucleotides in length. Lineage: Bacteria; Candidatus Saccharimonadota. The record is from RNAcentral. RNAcentral also lists the same sequence under 2 other names.
GGGCGAGUGGCGGAAUUGGUAUACGCGUUCGACUUAAAAUCGAAUGUCCAAAAGACGUGCGGGUUCAAGUCCCGCCUCGCCCACCA